This 224-nucleotide ribosomal RNA is filed under the name Clostridioides difficile. Its description in RNAcentral is "partial 23S ribosomal RNA". It matches the Rfam family "Bacterial large subunit ribosomal RNA", at positions 2323 to 2546 of the family's 2925-position model. The record is from RNAcentral. Lineage: Bacteria; Bacillati; Bacillota; Clostridia; Peptostreptococcales; Peptostreptococcaceae.
CAGUACGGUCGGAAAUCGUACGUAGAGUGUAAAGGCAAAAGAGAGCUUGAUUGCAAGACAUACAGGUCGAGCAAGGAUGAAAAUCGGACUUAGUGAUCCGGUGGUUCUGCGUGGAAGGGCCAUCGCUCAACGGAUAAAAGCUACCCUGGGGAUAACAGGCUUAUCUCCCCCAAGAGUCCACAUCGACGGGGAGGUUUGGCACCUCGAUGUCGGCUCAUCACAUC